UCACCUGAGUAUUUGGGUGAUGAUCAGGAAGAGGAACAGUGAAUGGAUGGUUGGUCAAAAUAGGACCCCACAGAGACAAGAUCCUGCCACUUAACUCUGUUGGAAUUCUAUUUUGCAUCACCACAAGCUGACUGCACAUUAUUCUGGACUUAAUUAUGAUUAAUUGUGUAGAUUUAGAUUGACACUGAUUUGCAUGUAAAGGCAGCACUAAUAAUUGCUUAUUGUUUUGGAUGUGGGGGGGGGGUAUAUCUGUAUAUUUCCAGGUGUGGAGAGUGAAACUAAGUUUUUGAGUUCAAUUGUAACUCCUCAGUGUCUACACUUGUACAGUCAGAGAGUAUUUUUGCUUUAGUACCUUAAACCUCUGAAAGGGUUCAAUGCUCGUCUGUGAUGAUUUUAGUUUUGAAUCUCUUUUGUCAGAGAUGUGCUCUGUAGUCUCAGACAUUUACUUCAAAAAAGACAAAAGCAACAAGCAUUUGAACUUGAUGAAAGCCUGCAGCUCUUGAGAGCGGAGAUGCAAGGACCUUUUUCCAUGAUUUCAUCUCUUAUGUCGAACUAUAGGGCUCACAUAAUAGGUUCAAUUACCUAUUACAGUACAUGCUGUUCUUGGUCUUGCACAGUUGGGCACACUGCAUAUUAUUUUACUGCUUAUUAUUAUAUUUAAGCAAGCUACAAAAUGCAUGUAUUUAUGUUCAAGCAGCUGAUUCACAAGACCAAUAAGCAGACUGAUGGUUCUUGAAUUCAUGUGCAAGGCAGGAGAAUGCCUAUAGUUUUCUUUGGGGCCACAAGUACACAAGAAAAAAAAAAAACAAUGUACAGCUCCUGGAGACAAAUCUCAGCUGUUUUCUUCCUCAGGAGGGAGGCAAUUUCCCCUUUCAAUACCUCCAUCUCUGCAUGAUUGGAGACAGCAGUAUGGAAGAAAACUCACAGGUUGACAGCUGAAUUUGAGUGCAUAUGCUUUCCUGCCCCUGUGCGGCCAAAAGGAGGGAGGAGCACGGACCUCUGAGCACACAAAGAGACGUGCUGAAAGUGGGUGCGCGCUAAGGGUUAGCAGUUUAAAGCUCUGUGUGCUCACCUGUCGCCUCCCUCACACUGAGGAAGGAGACACAUGGCGCAAAGGGUCACUGAGACAGGAAGGCACAGAUGGAAAGAGACGCUCCGUUUCCCUCUCUCUCUGAAGCGUAGUGAGGAGAGGGACAUGUGGAAGUCACCGAGAAAUAAACCCAAACAGGUCCCAUCGCAGGGCCUGAUCUUUGCAUCUGAUAGAACAUGGAGCAGACCCCCUAGAGUGCCGGUUCCUGAUAUGACCCCAUUCAAGCUUGGUUGCAAACUCUUAUACAGCACAGUAUGUCCCUUCUAAAAUUGACAGCAAAGGCUUGAAACAUCCUAACGUCCUGCAUUAUUAACAGGGAAAAUUCAGGCAGAAAUGUGUUGAUUCCAGUGUAAUCAUACUGAUCAGCUUAGGGAACAUUUAUCUAACACAGAGUUCAAACUGAAUCAUUAACUACGCAAUAAUAGAGCGGCAUUACAAAAUGUCCUGAAACUGUACGGGAACAAAGUAACAUGACGAAAGCAACAAGAUGAAAUCAUUUGAGUCAUUUCACACCAGCGAGUGCCAUAAAAUCCUCCUCUG
Molecule: long non-coding RNA, 1630 nt
Filed under: Xyrichtys novacula (pearly razorfish)
Lineage: Eukaryota; Metazoa; Chordata; Actinopteri; Labriformes; Labridae
Source: RNAcentral